Molecule: ribosomal RNA, 457 nt
Filed under: uncultured bacterium
Lineage: Bacteria
Description: bacterial SSU rRNA
Rfam family: Bacterial small subunit ribosomal RNA
Source: RNAcentral
CUUUGCUUCUUUUGGAAUCGAGUGGCAAACGGGUGAGUAACACGUAAACAACCUGCCUUCAGGAUGGGGACAACAGACGGAAACGACUGCUAAUACCGAAUACGCUUGGAAGACCGCAUGAUUUUCCAAGGAAAGGGUGGCCUCUACCUGUAAGCUAUCGCCUGAAGAGGGGUUUGCGUCUGAUUAGGCAGUUGGUGAGGUAACGGCCCACCAAACCUACGAUCAGUAGCCGGUCUGAGAGGGUGACCGGCCACAUUGGGACUGAGACACGGCCCAAACUCCUACGGGAGGCAGCAGUAGGGAAUUUUCGGCAAUGGGCGAAAGCCUGACCGAGCAACGCCGCGUGAGUGAAGAAGGCCUUCGGGUUGUAAAGCUCUGUUGUGAAGGAAGAACGGCUCAUACAGAGAAUGGUAUGGGAGUGACGGUACUUUACCAGAAAGCCACGGCUAACUACGUG